This 67-nucleotide transfer RNA is filed under the name Kisaura adamickai. Its description in RNAcentral is "tRNA-Thr". The record is from RNAcentral. Lineage: Eukaryota; Metazoa; Arthropoda; Insecta; Trichoptera; Philopotamidae.
GUUUUAAUAAUUUAAUAAUUUAAAAUAUUGAUUUUGUAAAUCAAAAAUAAGUAUAUCUUUUAAAACU